This 273-nucleotide ribosomal RNA is filed under the name uncultured bacterium. RNAcentral's name for it is "partial 16S ribosomal RNA". It matches the Rfam family "Bacterial small subunit ribosomal RNA", at positions 523 to 796 of the family's 1533-position model. The record is from RNAcentral.
AUACGAAGGGGGCUAGCGUUGUUCGGAUUUACUGGGCGUAAAGCGCACGUAGGCGGAUUGAUUAGUUAGGGGUGAAAUCCCGAGGCUCAACCUCGGAACUGCCUUUAAUACUGUCAAUCUCGAGACCGGAAGAGGUGAGUGGAACUCCUAGUGUAGAGGUGGAAUUCGUAGAUAUUAGGAAGAACACCAGGGCGAAGGCGGCUCACUGGUCCGGUACUGACGCUGAGGUGCGAAAGCGUGGGGAGCGAACAGGAUUAGAAACCCUAGUAGUCC